This is a non-coding RNA of Salmo salar (Atlantic salmon), 54 nucleotides long. NCBI's taxonomy places the organism in Eukaryota, Metazoa, Chordata, Actinopteri, Salmoniformes, Salmonidae. The record is from Rfam.
AAUGCACCAAUUUGUAAGUCGCUCUGGAUAAGAGCGUCUGCUAAAUGACGUACA